This 585-nucleotide long non-coding RNA is filed under the name Marmota monax (woodchuck). Lineage: Eukaryota; Metazoa; Chordata; Mammalia; Rodentia; Sciuridae. The record is from RNAcentral.
CUGUGAUGUUUGUAGAUACGGGACAAUAAAUUGCUUCCCUUGAUAGGAAGGUGGGUUGGUCAAUACCUUUUACAGAAUGCCAAAUUUAAAAGAACUUCUUGCACAAGAAGUGCAUUAUGUCGUAUAAUAAAAGAGAUCCUUUCUCCCAAGGGUGAGCCAAGUUUAUCUUGAUACCUUGUCAGAAAUGUGUGCCUCUGUGGCGGUUUAACCACGUGAUUUAUGGAAGGCGUGUGUUACCUUCUGCCUGCACUUAUGGCCCAGGCGUGUCCUGUCUCCCCGCGGGCUGAUUGAGUGGUGACUUUUAUAGGGCUUCUCAUUGUGCUGUGGGAAUCUGAAGGCAUCCGUGUGGCCUUUGCUUAUGUAGUAGUGUGUUCACUUAAAGAGUAAGAGUGUGUGGUGGUGCUGUGACCGAAGUUCAGCCAGAUGAGGAGUGAGCCAUUGACUGAGGCUCACCUAAGUUGAACGUCAUGAGACCUGGGAUGAAAAGGAUCUGCUACAGACACCACAAAAAAUACGCUGUGUGCAAUUAACACUGACAGCACAGUCUCCACCACAUCGAGCGUGAAAGAUGGAAACAUCUCCCAG